GCCUGGCUGGUUCAGUCAGUAGAACACCUGACUCUUGAUGUCAGGUCGUGAGUUUGAGCCCCAUGUUGGGUA
RNAcentral lists this transfer RNA (72 nucleotides) under Ailuropoda melanoleuca (giant panda). It matches the Rfam family "tRNA". Rfam says of the family: Transfer RNA (tRNA) molecules are approximately 80 nucleotides in length. Their secondary structure includes four short double-helical elements and three loops (D, anti-codon, and T loops). Further hydrogen bonds mediate the characteristic L-shaped molecular structure. tRNAs have two regions of fundamental functional importance: the anti-codon, which is responsible for specific mRNA codon recognition, and the 3' end, to which the tRNAs corresponding amino acid is attached (by aminoacyl-tRNA synthetases). tRNAs cope with the degeneracy of the genetic code in two manners: having more than one tRNA (with a specific anti-codon) for a particular amino acid; and 'wobble' base-pairing, i.e. permitting non-standard base-pairing at the 3rd anti-codon position. The record is from Rfam by way of RNAcentral. Lineage: Eukaryota; Metazoa; Chordata; Mammalia; Carnivora; Ursidae.